Molecule: long non-coding RNA, 415 nt
Filed under: Dermacentor andersoni
Lineage: Eukaryota; Metazoa; Arthropoda; Arachnida; Ixodida; Ixodidae
Description: uncharacterized LOC126517812
Source: RNAcentral
UCUAAGGCUCUAAGCGCCACCUAUUUCCGGUAGUCAAAAUGUGCCAUGGCGGCUUCCUGUCAAUUGGAUGUGUGCGUAGCACGGGAGCUUCAAUGUUACAUCUCAGCUUUUUUGGUUAUCCCCAGCUGUUCCUUAUAUUUCCGCGUAAUAACUCUUUCUUGUACCAAAUACAAUACCGAAUAGGGAUCGUAUAGAAGCUCAGAGGCUGCACCUGUCAUUCACAUAGACAGUUUAGCCAUUGUCAAAGCAGCAAUUUCGACUGGCACAGCAACGCUCAUCUGAAUGGCAUCUGUCAAUGUCAUAGCUGGAAUGUACAGACUAAAAAAGCUCGGAAGCGCUUGCACUCUUUGGAGAAUUUUGUAUGAGCAUUUUCAGGCUGUUCUGGUGACACUAAAAAAUACUGGCUCUCCUGUAA